CGUAACAAGGUUUCCGUAGGUGAACCUGCGGAAGGAUCAUUAUCCAUCUCAACUGAGCCGGCGCGGCCCCAUUUGGUGGUAACGCGAAAGCGUGUACGCGCCGUCACUCUUACCCUUUUUUUACGAGUACCUUCGUUCUCCUUCGGUGGGGCAACCUGCCGCUGGAAUCAACAAAACCUUUUUUGCAUCUAGCAUUACCUGUUCUGAUACAAAUAAUCGUUACAACUUUCAACAAUGGAUCUCUUGGCUCUGGCAUCGAUGAAGAACGCAGCGAAAUGCGAUAAGUAGUGUGAAUUGCAGAAUUCAGUGAAUCAUCGAAUCUUUGAACGCACAUUGCGCCCCUUGGUAUUCCAUGGGGCAUGCCUGUUCGAGCGUCAUCUACACCCUCAAGCUCUGCUUGGUGUUGGGCGUCUGUCCCGCCUCUGCGCGUGGACUCGCCCCAAAUUCAUUGGCAGCGGUCUUUGCCUCCUCUCGCGCAGCACAAUUGCGUUUCUUGAGGGGGUGGGUCGCAUCCACGAAGCAACAUUACCGUCUUUGACCUCGGAUCAGGUAGGGAUACCCGCUGAACUUAA
This 572-nucleotide ribosomal RNA is filed under the name Paraphaeosphaeria viridescens. Its description in RNAcentral is "eukaryotic LSU rRNA". The stretch from base 224 to 377 matches the Rfam family "5.8S ribosomal RNA". Lineage: Eukaryota; Fungi; Ascomycota; Dothideomycetes; Pleosporales; Didymosphaeriaceae. The record is from RNAcentral.